RNAcentral lists this unclassified non-coding RNA (426 nucleotides) under plant metagenome. Its description in RNAcentral is "partial contains small subunit ribosomal RNA, internal transcribed spacer 1, and 5.8S ribosomal RNA". The record is from RNAcentral.
UUUUCAUAAUGAACAAGAGUAUCCUUCAUUGAAGCCUUGUAGUCUCAGUCAACUAGAAGUUUCAGUUGGCAACACUGUCCCUAUGCUUGGAUGUCAUUAUAGACAACCAGCAGCUUCGCCUCGUCAAAGUUCACAGAUCAAACGAGGGUGGUCCAAAUCUAGGAUUAAAAUAUGACCGGCCUGCUCCUGAAAGGGGACAGACUGUGCGUUCCGUAGGUGAACCUGCGGAAGGAUCAUUACUGAGAACUUGUCCUUAGGGGUAGAUCUCCCACCCUAUGUUUACAUACUUUGUUGCUUUGGCAUGCCGGCGUGUUGGCUGCUGGCUUCGGCUAGUUGGUGUCUUCCAGAGAACCAACACUAUGAUUAAUUUAAGGACAGAGUACUAUUCAAUAGUUAAAACUUUCAACAACGGAUCUCUUGGUUCUG